AAGCAGCUAGCUAUCUAACGUUAGGUUCCGUGUUUUAAGCUUGCUACAUAAAUAUAUACACAAGCCUAUUAGCAACAUUUUGACUGACUUGAGAUCAUUGCCCUUGCUAGUUCGAUUGUAUUGACAUUCUCAGCGUUAGUUACAUUUGUCCGUUUUUGACCAGAAUAUUGAGUCAUUGAAACUGAAACAGCGCAUUCAGAAUGGAGGCAGCAAACAAGGAGGACAGCCCCUGCUUCUACGUCACUGGCAUCGGUGUACAAAGCAAAUGGCCGACGGAAAUCCGGAGCUUCUAGCACCGGUGCAGAGACCAAAGGGUCUGCAUUUCGUAACCUGAUCAGAAGACGAAGGAGUUCAAAAAUGUCCACCUCCACUUUGCCCAUCACAGAGAGGUUACUAACACGGUUGAUGCCCUCUUUGGCCAGGGUGAUAGCCAGGCGCUCACCACGACUGCACUCCAUCGGGUCAUCCAGAACAGCAGCUACAAGACACAGGGUGUGUUACGGUUCUGCCAUUUUGAGGACUAUGCCUAGGGUUGCAAAGUUUUGGUAACUUUCCCCAAAUUCCCUGUUUUCCAGAAAUUCCAGUUGGAAUAUUCCUGGAAUCAGGAGGGAAUAAGGAAUCCUCCAACCAGGUUACCAGCUUUUUAAACCCUAACUAUGCCAUCAAUGCCAUAGCCUGGUGCCAGAUCAGUUUCUGCUGUAUAGCCAACUCCUAUGGCCACUGGGAAAAUAUUUUGCAAUGAGCGGAUUUUUAUUUUGUUGAUGAACAUCUUUUUGGGGUGAAUUUCUCCCAAGCAUGAUCAGUGAGUAGACCUUUUUAUUGCUAUAUUUCUAUGGCACAGGCUGUAUUUCAAAGGCAAAAUAGCACAGAUCUGUGCAAAAUAUACUGUCAAAAUUAUAACAAUCUGCAGCAUGAUUUAAUCAAUUUUCAACAACAAUGUGCAUUAAAAUGAGGUGGUUUUUUAAUCACGAAACGAUGCAUGCAACACACACAAUGCAUUUGUGAGUUGCAGUAUUUGGAACUCACAAUGGAUAUUAAUAUCUUCCCGCCUAUGUGAAAUAUUGGUUAUUUUGCUCACUGCUGUUUGCUCAUGUAAAAUGUCCCCCAUUAUGCAUUUUCUCUAGAGGCAAAGCAGAGAGACAGACUGCAGAGAGACAGACUGCAGUUGUCUGUGAUAAAAAGUUUAUUAUGUUAAAUGUCAUGGGUUUUCUCUCUUUCCCCAAAUGUCAUGUACUGAAUAUGAAAU
This is a long non-coding RNA of Oncorhynchus gorbuscha (pink salmon), 1246 nucleotides long. RefSeq lists it as uncharacterized. Lineage: Eukaryota; Metazoa; Chordata; Actinopteri; Salmoniformes; Salmonidae. The record is from RefSeq and is a predicted model, not a curated record. The transcript is spliced from 3 exons.